GAAUGAAGAACGCAGCGAAAUGCGAUAAGUAGUGUGAAUUGCAGAAUUCAGUGAAUCAUCGAAUCUUUGAACGCACAUUGCGCCCCUUGGUAUCCCGAGGGGCAUGCCUGUUCGAGCGUCAUUUCACCACUCAAGCCUGGCUUGGUGUUGGGCGACGUCCCCUUUAGGGACGCGCCUCGAAACGCUCGGCGGCGCGGCACCGGCUUUAAGCGUAGCAGAAUCUUUCGCUUUGGAAGUCGGGGCCCCGCCUGCCGGAAUACCUACUUGUAAGGUUGACCUCGGAUCAGGCAGGGAUACCCGCUGAACUUAAGCAUAUCAAUAAGCGGAGGA
Molecule: unclassified non-coding RNA, 330 nt
Filed under: soil metagenome
Description: partial contains 5.8S ribosomal RNA, internal transcribed spacer 2, and large subunit ribosomal RNA
Rfam family: 5.8S ribosomal RNA (bases 3-121)
Source: RNAcentral